Triticum dicoccoides is the source of this 1277-nucleotide long non-coding RNA. RefSeq lists it as uncharacterized. Lineage: Eukaryota; Viridiplantae; Streptophyta; Magnoliopsida; Poales; Poaceae. The transcript has 3 exons. The record is from RefSeq and is a predicted model, not a curated record.
GGCUUUUUCCCGACUGAACCCGAGGUCCCUCUUCUUCCUCUCUCUCCGCCCCUCUCCACCACCACCCCUCCCGACGACGGGCGCCGUCUUGCCGCCCAAUUCCGCCCCCGCCGCCCCUCUCCACCACCACCCAUCCCGCCCCACGCCGCCCCCACUGGCACCACUCCUCCCGCCCCAUGCCCCACGCCGCCUCGUUCCCCACCUCGUUCCCCAACGUGAAGCAUGCAUUUUUUUUGUCGAUCCUUCUGCUGCUCCUGUCCGACGGCCAUGUGUGUACUCCUUGCGCGGCGGCGGGGCACGGCGGACGGGCUCCCUCCUUUCUCGCACUCCUUGCGCGGCGGCUGCUCGGCGGAUCGCAAAGAGGCAGGUGGAGGAGCUCACCCAGGAGCCCGCCGGAGUCAAAGGAGUUUGAUGUGAGGAACAAGUCGGCUUCGCUCAAGGCCGACGAUUGGGUGUGUGUAGUGGCAGUUUAAGGAGUGGCGAAAUCUUCUGUUGGAUUGCUGCAUGCUCUGGUCUGAAAGUUUGUGCUUUGAAGGAGUAGCAACAUCUUCAGGUGGAAGGAGUGGCAGUUCAAGGACAUCUUCGGCAGUGGUCUGGAUUGAUUCAGGACUACCUACCUAGCAGCAGCAGCAGAGGCCGGGCAAUUCCACUAAAUUUUGCUCGAAGCAGGACAAUUAGAAGCAGCAGCAGAGUUCGUUUGGUUGAAGCAGAAGCAGAAGCAGCAGUAGGCGUCGGGGGGCAACACAGUCGACUAGGAAGGAGCCGGAGGGGAAGGAGAGACUGGGCCGGCGAUCGGAAUCUCCCAGCAGCAGAGACGGGGCCGACGAUCCGAGUCUCCCAGCAGCAGAGACGGGGCACGGGGAAGUAUCGCGACCGAACCGCGGAGGUUGGCAGCGGUGCAGGUCGAGGUGGGCGGCGCCGCAGUGGCUGGUCGCGCAGGUGGGCGGCGUUAUCACGCAGGUGGUCGCGACGGAUCGAGGACCAGCUCGCCUGGUGGUCGCGGCGUUGGGCGGCGGAAUCCGCGGGCAGCUGGUGGCGGGUGGGCGGCGGCGCGUGGUUGCGGGUGAGCCGUGAGUGCAGGAAUCUCCAGCACGGCGGCGGAAUCCCGCGGCGCCGGCCCCUGGCGACGCACGGGCGGCGGACAGAGGAAGCAGAAGGAGUCAAGGACGUGCUUGCUACUGUUUUAAAAUUGUGAGGUGUUUUUCGCAAAAUGUACACUGUACUGCGCCCGCGACAUGAAUUUCGGGACGGAGGGAGUAUAUUUUUGUCUUGCUUUA